CCUACGGGGGGCAGCAGUGGGGGAUAUUGCACAAUGGGGGAAACCCUGAUGCAGCGACGCCGCGUGUGGGAAGACGGUCCUCUGGAUUGUAAACCACUGUCCCCAGGGACGAAGAUGACGGUACCUGGGGAGGAUGCUCCGGCAAACUACGUGCCAGCAGCCGCGGUAAUACGUAGGGAGCGAGCGUUGUCCGGAAUUACUGGGUGUAAAGGGAGCGUAGGCGGGGAUGCAAGUUGGGUGUAAAAACUACCGGCUCAACUGGUAGUCGCUCUCAAAACUGCAGCGCUUGAGUGAAGUAGAGGCAGGCGGAAUUCCUGGUGUAGCGGUGAAAUGCGUAGAUAUUAGGAGGAACACCAAUGGCGAAGGCGGCCUGCUAGGCUUUUACUGACGCUGAGGCUCGAAAGUGUGGGGAGCAAACAGGAUUAGAUACCCGGGUAGUC
Molecule: ribosomal RNA, 440 nt
Filed under: uncultured bacterium
Lineage: Bacteria
Description: partial 16S ribosomal RNA
Rfam family: Bacterial small subunit ribosomal RNA
Source: RNAcentral